UAGCGAAUCCAAGAGCACUGAAGUAUUAAAGAGGCUGUGAAUACUUAAUUAAGGCUAUGUUACCAUCCUACCUUUGCCUGAAUUCACUUAACGCUUUGGAGCUCUGCUCUGAAAACGCACAAUUUGUCUGAUGGCGGGGUCGGAGGAGUAGCAGGUGAGAAGCCAUCCUCUCUUGAAUGGGGGCUCCCACUGUACAUCUGGCACCCACUUCACAGGUGAGCCUUUCCGCUCCUAAAUGAUGACUGAUUCUGGGGGAUGUCAACACCAGCACUGCUGAGCUGUGUGACCUUGAGCAAGACAGUUAGCCUCUCUGAACCUCAGUGUCCUUCUCUGUAGGCUGGAGAUUGAUAUACCUUCAUUAUCGGGGUAUGAGAGUGUUAUAGGGUGGGAUGGUGGAACACGCUGACUGGUCUGGGCUAUUCAAGAUCCAUGAACUGGAAGAUGCUUUCUUAUAACUCAGAGAAAAGAGAUGAAAAUGAAUCAAAGAACAGGAAGGAGACAAGCUCAGGACACCAAAACACAGGCAAGAAAACAAACAAACAAACAGAACAUAUUUCCUGAAAAAGGCUAUGUCUUUCUGUUUGAAUGACAAUGCAUAGGACUGACUGAACUCCUCAUUUUGAGUCACCCUAAGAAGGAUGUGUGGAAGACUUGACUGGAGGAUCAAAAUGUGUCGGGGGAAGGUGUACAAGGAGGAGUAAGGACACAGAUGUCCUGACUUCACACAGUGGGGGAUUAGAAGCCACCAUCAAACACAGAUGAAACAGGAAUAAAAGUAGUAGUACAUUACUUAAGCUUUAAAAGGAAUAGACAGAUAAAUCAAUGGAACAGUACGAGGAGAGCUGAAGCAGGCCCAUGUAAAUAUGAAUUUCAUAUAAGAUAAAUGUGGCAUUUCAAAUCAGUGGGGAAAAGAUGAGGAAUUCAGUAAGUCAAAUUAGGUCAAGGGUAAGACUCCUGGGAAUUUGGAAGC
RNAcentral lists this long non-coding RNA (970 nucleotides) under Homo sapiens (human). RNAcentral's name for it is "long non-coding RNA NONHSAT180318.1". The record is from RNAcentral. Lineage: Eukaryota; Metazoa; Chordata; Mammalia; Primates; Hominidae.